RNAcentral lists this ribosomal RNA (478 nucleotides) under uncultured bacterium. Its description in RNAcentral is "partial 16S ribosomal RNA". It matches the Rfam family "Bacterial small subunit ribosomal RNA", at positions 29 to 507 of the family's 1533-position model. The record is from RNAcentral.
AUGAACGCUGGCGGCGUGCUUAACCCAUGCCAGUCGAACGCAGCACUUUAACCUGAUUCUUCGGAUGAAGGUUUUUGUGACUGAGUGGCGGACGGGUGAGUAACGCGUGGGUAACCUGCCUCAUACAGGGGGAUAACAGUUAGAAAUGACUGCUAAUACCGCAUAAGACCACAGAGCCGCAUGGCUCGGUGGGAAAAACUCCGGUGGUAUGAGAUGGACCCGCGUCUGAUUAGGUAGUUGGUGGGGUAACGGCCUACCAAGCCAACGAUCAGUAGCCGACCUGAGAGGGUGACCGGCCACAUUGGGACUGAGACACGGCCCAAACUCCUACGGGAGGCAGCAGUGGGGAAUAUUGCACAAUGGGGGAAACCCUGAUGCAGCGACGCCGCGUGAGCGAAGAAGUAUUUCGGUAUGUAAAGCUCUAUCAGCAGGGAAGAAAAUGACGGUACCUGACGAAGAAGCACCGGCUAAAUACGUG